GUUUCUCGAAAAGGACCUCCAUAUCUUAUCUCAAAUUUUACCUAGAACAUGGUGGAACCUCCAUUUUAUAGCACCAAUCGUUGCUUGGAGCCUCCUUAUCAUCUGAUGAGGAGACUUUUCCCCGACACCAACAGGAUAAAUAGUCAGCAAUGGGGAAUAAGCUGAGGACUAAAGUUUGAAGGAAUCAAAAAAAUUAGAGAUAUCAAGAGAAAUAAAAAGGC
This 221-nucleotide long non-coding RNA is filed under the name Elaeis guineensis (African oil palm). RNAcentral's name for it is "long non-coding RNA (EGUI_LNC022837)". The record is from RNAcentral. Lineage: Eukaryota; Viridiplantae; Streptophyta; Magnoliopsida; Arecales; Arecaceae.